Molecule: ribosomal RNA, 1037 nt
Filed under: Ursus arctos (brown bear)
Lineage: Eukaryota; Metazoa; Chordata; Mammalia; Carnivora; Ursidae
Description: partial 16S ribosomal RNA
Rfam family: Bacterial large subunit ribosomal RNA
Source: RNAcentral
GCCCAGAAUAGAAUUUUAGUUCAACUUUAAACUUGCCUACAAAACUUAAAAAUUUUAAUGCAAGUUUAAAAUAUAUUCUAAAAAGGUACAGCUUUUUAGAAUCAAGGAUACAACCUUACUUAGAGAGUAAAUACUGAUUAAAUCAUAGUAGGCCUAGAAGCAGCCAUCAAUUAAGAAAGCGUUUAAGCUCAACACCCAUAUCAACUUGAUACCAAAAAUAUCUAAUUAACUCCUAAUAUAAUAACUGGGCUAAUCUAUUUAAAUAUAGAAGCAACAAUGCUAAUAUGAGUAACGAGAAGUACUUCUCCAACGCAUAAGCUUAUAACAGCAACGGAUAACCACUGAUAGUUAACAACAACGUAGAAAUAAUCCAACAAUAAAACACCUACCAAACCAAUUGUUAAUCCAACACAGGCAUGCGACUAAGGAAAGAUUAAAAGAAGUAAAAGGAACUCGGCAAACACAAACCCCGCCUGUUUACCAAAAACAUCACCUCCAGCAUUCCCAGUAUUGGAGGCACUGCCUGCCCGGUGACAUCAGUUAAACGGCCGCGGUAUUCUGACCGUGCAAAGGUAGCAUAAUCAUUUGUUCUCUAAAUAAGGACUUGUAUGAAAGGCCACACGAGGGUUUAACUGUCUCUUACUUCCAAUCAGUGAAAUUGACCUUCCCGUGAAGAGGCGGGAAUAAAAUAAUAAGACGAGAAGACCCUAUGGAGCUUCAAUUAAUUAGCUCAAAAGGAUUUAUUUACCAGACCGACAGGAACAACAUAUUCCUUCCAUGAGCUAGCAAUUUAGGUUGGGGCGACCUCGGAGUACAAAAUAACCUCCGAGUGAUAUUAAUCUAGACGUACCAGUCAAAAUGCUCACUUACUUAUUGAUCCAAAGCUUCUUUGAUCAACGGAACAAGUUACCCUAGGGAUAACAGCGCAAUCCUAUUUAAGAGUCCAUAUCGACAAUAGGGUUUACGACCUCGAUGUUGGAUCAGGACAUCCUAAUGGUGCAGCAGCUAUUAAGGGUUCGUUUGUUCAACGAUUAAAG